RNAcentral lists this ribosomal RNA (429 nucleotides) under Verrucomicrobiota bacterium. RNAcentral's name for it is "Verrucomicrobia bacterium partial 16S ribosomal RNA". It matches the Rfam family "Bacterial small subunit ribosomal RNA", at positions 355 to 776 of the family's 1533-position model. Lineage: Bacteria; Pseudomonadati; Verrucomicrobiota. The record is from RNAcentral.
UAGGGAAUCUUCCGCAAUGGACGAAAGUCUGACGGAGCAACGCCGCGUGAGUGAAGAAGGAUUUCGGUUCGUAAAACUCUGUUGUUAGGGAAGAAAAAAUGUAUAGUAACUAUAUACAAAAGAGACGGUACCUAACCAGAAAGCCACGGCUAACUACGUGCCAGCAGCCGCGGUAAUACGUAGGUGGCAAGCGUUGUCCGGAAUUAUUGGGCGUAAAGCGCGCGCAGGUGGUUUAGAAAGUCUGAUGUGAAGGCCCACGGCUCAACCGUGGAGGGUCAUUGGAAACUAAUAAACUUGAGUGCAGGAGAGAAAAGUGGAAUUCCUAGUGUAGCGGUGAAAUGCGUAGAGAUUAGGAGGAACACCGGUGGCGAAAGCGGCUUUUUGGCCUGCAACUGACACUGAGGCGCGAAAGCGUGGGGAGCAAACAGG